RNAcentral lists this ribosomal RNA (962 nucleotides) under uncultured bacterium. Its description in RNAcentral is "bacterial SSU rRNA". It matches the Rfam family "Bacterial small subunit ribosomal RNA", at positions 8 to 991 of the family's 1533-position model. The record is from RNAcentral.
AGAGUUUGAUCCUGGCUCAGGAUGAACGCUGGCGGCGUGCUUAACACAUGCAAGUCGAACGGAGUUAAUUGAAGCUUGCUUUAAUUAACUUAGUGGCGGACGGGUGAGUAACGCGUGGGUAACCUGCCGUAUGCUGGGGGACAACAGUUGGAAACGACUGCUAAUACCGCAUAAGCGCACGUUUUCGCAUGAGAAUGUGUGAAAAACUCCGGUGGCAUACGAUGGACCCGCGUCUGAUUAGGCAGUUGGUGAGGUAACGGUCCACCAAACCUACGAUCAGUAGCCGGCCUGAGAGGGUGAACGGCCACAUUGGGACUGAGACACGGCCCAAACUCCUACGGGAGGCAGCAGUGGGGAAUAUUGCACAAUGGGGGAAACCCUGAUGCAGCGACGCCGCGUGAGUGAAGAAGUAUUUCGGUAUGUAAAGCUCUAUCAGCAGGAAAGAAAAUGACGGUACCUGACUAAGAAGCCCCGGCUAACUACGUGCCAGCAGCCGCGGUAAUACGUAGGGGGCAAGCGUUAUCCGGAUUUACUGGGUGUAAAGGGAGCGUAGACGGCUUUGCAAGUCUGAAGUGAAAGCCCGGGGCUCAACCCCGGAACUGCUUUGGAAACUGUAGAGCUAGAGUGCAGGAGAGGUAAGUGGAAUUCCUAGUGUAGCGGUGAAAUGCGUAGAUAUUAGGAGGAACACCAGUGGCGAAGGCGGCUUACUGGACUGUAACUGACGUUGAGGCUCGAAGGCGUGGGGAGCAAACAGGAUUAGAUACCCUGGUAGUCCACGCGCUAAAAGAGGAUUACUAGAUGUUGGAUUUUCAGAGUCACAGCUAACGCAAUAAGUACUCCGCCUGAGGAGUAUGCACGCAAGUGUGAAACUUAAAGGAAAUUGACGGGGCCCCGCACAAGCGGUGGAGUAUGUGGUUUAAUUCGACGCAACGCGAAGAACCUUACCAGGCCUUGACAUCCCU